Molecule: ribosomal RNA, 505 nt
Filed under: uncultured bacterium
Lineage: Bacteria
Description: bacterial SSU rRNA
Rfam family: Bacterial small subunit ribosomal RNA
Source: RNAcentral
AGUUUGAUCCUGGCUCAGAUUGAACGCUGGCGGCAUGCCUUACACAUGCAAGUCGAACGGCAGCACGGGAGCUUGCUCCUGGUGGCGAGUGGCGAACGGGUGAGUAAUACAUCGGAACGUACCCUGAAGUGGGGGAUAACGUAGCGAAAGUUACGCUAAUACCGCAUAUUCUGUGAGCAGGAAAGAGGGGGGAUCGCAAGACCUCUUGCUUCAGGAGCGGCCGAUGUCGGAUUAGCUAGUUGGUGAGGUAAAGGCUCACCAAGGCGACGAUCCGUAGCGGGUCUGAGAGGGUGAUCCGCCACACUGGGACUGAGACACGGCCCAGACUCCUACGGGAGGCAGCAGUGGGGAAUUUUGGACAAUGGGCGCAAGCCUGAUCCAGCCAUGCCGCGUGAGUGAAGAAGGCCUUCGGGUUGUAAAGCUCUUUCGGUGAGGAAGAAAUUGCUUCGGUUAAUACCUGGAGUAGAUGACGGUACCCGCAUAAGAAGCACCGGCUAACUACGUG